RNAcentral lists this ribosomal RNA (523 nucleotides) under uncultured bacterium. Its description in RNAcentral is "partial 16S ribosomal RNA". It matches the Rfam family "Bacterial small subunit ribosomal RNA", at positions 28 to 523 of the family's 1533-position model. The record is from RNAcentral.
GACGAACGCUGGCGGCGUGCCUAAUACAUGCAAGUCGAACGCUUUUUCUUUCACCGGAGCUUGCUCCACCGAAAGAAAAAGAGUGGCGAACGGGUGAGUAGCACGUGGGUAACCUGCCCAUCAGAAGGGGAUAACACUUGGAAACAGGUGCUAAUACCGUAUAACACUAUUUUCCGCAUGGAAGAAAGUUGAAAGGCGACUUUGCGUCACUGAUGGAUGGACACGGGGUGCAUUAGCUAGUUGGUGAGGUAACGGCUCACCAAGGCAACGAUGCAUAGCCGACCUGAGAGGGUGAUCGGCCACACUGGGACUGAGACACGGCCCAGACUCCUACGGGAGGCAGCAGUAGGGAAUCUUCGGCAAUGGACGAAAGUCUGACCGAGCAACGCCGCGUGAGUGAAGAAGGUUUUCGGAUCGUAAAACUCUGUUGUUAGAGAAGAACAAGGAUGAGAGUAAAACGUUCAUCCCUUGACGGUAUCUAACCAGAAAGCCACGGCUAACUACGUGCCAGCCGCCGCAGUAA